CACACGACUCUCGGCAACGGAUAUCUCGGCUCUCGCAUCGAUGAAGAACGUAGCGAAAUGCGAUACCUGGUGUGAAUUGCAGAAUCCCGCGAACCAUCGAGUUUUUGAACGCAAGUUGCGCCCGAGGCCACUCGGCCGAGGGCACGCCUGCCUGGGCGUCACGC
Molecule: ribosomal RNA, 164 nt
Filed under: Thinopyrum intermedium
Lineage: Eukaryota; Viridiplantae; Streptophyta; Magnoliopsida; Poales; Poaceae
Description: 5.8S ribosomal RNA
Rfam family: 5.8S ribosomal RNA
About the family: 5.8S ribosomal RNA (5.8S rRNA) is a component of the large subunit of the eukaryotic ribosome. It is transcribed by RNA polymerase I as part of the 45S precursor that also contains 18S and 28S rRNA.
Source: RNAcentral